UCGAUACCCUUGGUGCCGAAGAUAAACACAUUAAGCACUCCGCCUGGGGAGUACGGCCGCAAGGCUGAAACUCAAAGGAAUUGACGGGGACCCGCACAAGCAGUGUAGUAUGUGGUUUAAUUCGAAGCAACGCGAAGAACCUUACCAGGUCUUGACAUCCCUCUGACCGCUGUAGAGAUAUGGCUUUCCUUCGGGACAGAGGAGACAGGUGGUGCAUGGUUGUCGUCAGCUCGUGUCGUGAGAUGUUGGGUUAAGUCCCGCAACGAGCGCAACCCUUGACUUUAGUUGCCAGCAAGUGAAGUUGGGCACUCUAGAGUGACUGCCGGUGACAAACCGGAGGAAGGUGGGGAUGACGUCAAAUCAUCAUGCCCCUUAUGACCUGGGCUACACACGUACUACAAUGGCCGGUACAACGGGAAGCGAAGGAGCGAUCUGGAGCGAAUCCUAGAAAAGCCGGUCUCAGUUCGGAUUGCAGGCUGCAACUCGCCUGCAUGAAGUCGGAAUUGCUAGUAAUCGCGGAUCA
This 523-nucleotide ribosomal RNA is filed under the name anaerobic bacterium A126. RNAcentral describes it as "bacterial SSU rRNA". It matches the Rfam family "Bacterial small subunit ribosomal RNA", at positions 831 to 1351 of the family's 1533-position model. The record is from RNAcentral.